CAAGUACUCCCUUCAUUCUGAAUUACUUGUCGCAAAAAUGGAUGUAUCUAGACAUAUUUUUAGUUUUACAUACAUCAAUUUCUAUUCAUUUAUGUGACAAGUAAUUCAGGACGAAGGGAGUACCAA
Molecule: non-coding RNA, 126 nt
Organism: Triticum urartu
Lineage: Eukaryota; Viridiplantae; Streptophyta; Magnoliopsida; Poales; Poaceae
Source: Rfam